RNAcentral lists this ribosomal RNA (99 nucleotides) under uncultured bacterium. RNAcentral's name for it is "partial 16S ribosomal RNA". It matches the Rfam family "Bacterial small subunit ribosomal RNA", at positions 1384 to 1482 of the family's 1533-position model. The record is from RNAcentral.
UACACACCGCCCGUCACACCAUGGGAGUUGAUUGCAUCAGAAGUAGGUAGUCUAACCGUAAGGAGGGCGUUUACCACGGUGUGGUCAAUGACUGGGGUG